UGGGCUGUUCAGGCAUUUUUAUUAAUAUGUCCAAUACAUUAUCCAUGUAAUACACUUGUCUGGUGGGGCCUCCCAUGGCUCCGGAGCUGGCAGGUGGGGGCUGGGGGCUGGCCCACUGAGGGGGGGAAUCUGAGUGUGCAGUGUGAUGGAUCAGUUUGCAUUACCCACCCAGGCUGGCCUUCGUCUGUCAGGAUUAAUAGGAUAACGGCACGGAGAGCAGGAAGGGGAUAAAGUGGCCCAGCCCUCUCACCUUAAGGUAAAGGGACCUGGGCCAGAGAGGGCCAGAGGCUUGCUUGUGCAAACCCAUAUGUGGAAAGAGUGGCUGAAUCUGGGCGCUCAAAGUCUCAUGUCACAGCUGAUGUGAUGCCACAGCCCGGCCCGGCCUCUGUGGCCUCCUCUGGAGCCUGAU
RNAcentral lists this long non-coding RNA (409 nucleotides) under Sarcophilus harrisii (Tasmanian devil). RNAcentral describes it as "lncRNA (ENSSHAG00000024356.1)". The record is from RNAcentral. Lineage: Eukaryota; Metazoa; Chordata; Mammalia; Dasyuromorphia; Dasyuridae.